UAAUACGAAGGUCCCAAGCGUUGUUCGGAAUCACUGGGCGUAAAGCGUGUGUAGGCUGCGCGGAAAGUCAAAUGUGAAAGCCCGGGGCUCAACCUCGGAACUGCAUUCGAUACUCCCGUGCUAGAGUAAUGGAGAGGUAAGUGGAAUUCCUGGUGUAGCAGUGAAAUGCGUGGAUAUCAGGAGGAGCAUCAAUGGCGAAGGCAACUUACUGGACAUUUACUGACGCUCAGACACGAAGGCUAGGGUAGCGAAAGGGAUUAGAUACCCCUGUAGUCCUAGCAGUAAACGGUGCUCGCUUGGUGUGGGAGGAUUCGACCCCUUCUGUGCCGGAGCUAACGCGUUAAGCGAGCCGCCUGGGAAGUACGGUCGCAAGACUA
Molecule: ribosomal RNA, 377 nt
Filed under: uncultured Verrucomicrobiota bacterium
Lineage: Bacteria; Pseudomonadati; Verrucomicrobiota
Description: bacterial SSU rRNA
Rfam family: Bacterial small subunit ribosomal RNA
Source: RNAcentral